AGUGAAAAUGAAGCGCACGAUGGGCGGAAGCUGUGAGUCCGGCAAAGUUUUAAAAUGAUGACGUAUUUUAUUAACUCUAACGGCACUGGCGGGUGACUGAAAAUACUAGUGCUGUGUAUGCGGGAUAGACAUUAUUUUCCUGCCCUACAUGAGGGGCUCGUGCGCGGAACGACAUGGGCAGCCCCGGCGGAAACUGCAGGCACAAGCCGGGACGCCGCGGGUUUAAAACAUGCGCGUGAGAGGAAGACAAACAUAAAGAUGAAGUGCUUAAUUCAAGGUCACACAAUGUCGGGGAUGGACCUCCAGAUUUCCUUACUGACCUGCAUUAUCUUGUGGAUACCUGAGUGAAUUCCACACCACCCAUUUUAUAGAUGAAACCACUGAGACAUGGAGCAAUUGACUGAGUAGUCACUGCCCCACCCCUGCCUGGAGCCUCACACAUGACUCGCCUCCUCUCAGUGACCACAGACCAAGUGUGUUGGGGACUUGAGAUGCGUACAUGAGUGUGAUGUUUCCUGCUGAAAGCACAGGUGAGACGUGGUCUUGUAACACAGUGGUUAAGAAUGUGACUUUGGAGCCAGCCUGCUAGGGGCUGAAUUCUGACUCAGCCAUUUACUAACUGUGUGACCUUAGGGAGGAGGACCUGGUUGAUAGAAGAAUUUAUCUCGUAGUCUUAACAUCCACUGUAAUUCCAAACUUUGAGGACGAUAGAGAUCAGUGGGCUUUGACUGCCCAGCAUGCAGUCUCCAUUCUUAGGUGGGUUCCCAAGCCUGUAAAAUGUAAGCCUUAUGCUGCUGAGGGCCAUCUUGCCACCCUGAGGGAAACGCUGCCUGAGAAUGAAACAAGCAUAAGUAAAAGCUGAGCUGUGAGAUGGAGCAAGAUGAAGGCCACAUGACAUCUUUGGAGCACCUGGAUCUAACUGUGCCUUAAGCUAGUCUAACCCUGAACAUUUCAUCAUUUCAUUGACAUGAGCCCAGGUUUUCUUUUUUUUUGGAUGGAGUCUUGCUCUGUCGCCCAGGCUGGAGUGCAGUAGCUCAAUCUCGGCUCACUGCAAGCUCCACCUCCCGGGUUCACGCCAUUCUCCUGCCUUAGCCUCCCAAGUAGCUGGGACAACAGGCGCCCACCACCACUCCCAGCUAAUUUUUUGUAUUUUUAGUAGAGACGGGGUUUUACCAUGUUAGCCGGGAUGGUCUUGAUCUCCUGACCUCAUGAUCCGCCCGCCUCGGCCUCCCAAAGUGCUGGGAUUACAGGUGUGAGCCACUGCACCCAGCCCUCAGGUUUUCCCUUUUUUUACCCCUCCUUUUGAAAAUUUGAUGUGGAAUUUUGCCACCUGCAGCCAGAAGAGUUUUAACUAAUCAGUGCCAUAAAUUUUAUAUAGUUCUCCUUGCAAAAUGUGGAUCAGCCUUUCUCAGCAAAUCCUUUGUCAUAAAGUGCUGAAUUGUAAGUUUGUCAUGAGAAUCACAUGAGAUCAUGCAUGUGAAGAACCUGGCAUUAUCCUCCUCAUAGAAAAAAACCAGUAAAUAUUAACUACAGGAAGCAAGGAAGGAGUGGGGUGAGGGGAAGAAGAAGGGGUACUGAUUUAAAAGAACCCUGGAGUCCUAAGGAUAAUCUAGGAACCCUCAGACCCAAUCCGAUACCCCUAUUCUAAAUGCUCCUAGUGCCCUGUACCUUCCCCUCAUAAGCCUUCAUUAUCAUUGUAAUGAUAUGUUUAUGUAAUAUUUUGAUUAAUGUCUCUCCUUCACUGACCUAGCAGUUCUAGCAGGGCAGUGAUUUUGCUGUGUUGCAUCCCCAGCACCUAGUCUGGUAUGUGGCAUUCAGCAUAUGUUUAUUGAAUGAAUGGCCAUGUGGUUAUUCAGAUCCUCCUUGAUUAUUGGGGUUAGGAUUGUGGCAGAAGUGGCAAAAUCAGGGAGAGUAGUCCCUGUCCCCUCUGUAUCUUAUACACUGCCCACACUCCCAACACACAUACACAUACAGAGAAUUUUGUCUCAAUUAGAUAAUUAACUUCUGCUUGGUUGUAAACCAAACCACUGGUUCUUAAACUUUCAUUGGAUCAUUUUAUUGAAGAAUUAAAUAGUGUGGUUCUGGCCUAAUGUCUGGAAAGCCUUGCAGAGGAGUGGAUUAGGUCUUUGUGAUAAACAGGCAGCCUUCCCUGCUCCUGUGUCUUUAUAAAAUCUAUUUAACUGGAGUAGUCCACCCUCCCUCAGGCUCUUACAGGAAUAUGUUGGAGGCUGUAGGAAGGUGGGAAACCGAGAGGGAAAGGACUGGGCCGCUGGAGACUUCACUCAUUCCCUAGCAAGAAACAAAAGCAGUAAAAGGUGGCCCGAGGACAACCUGAAGCUCACUCCUUCAGCACUUUUGGCUGGAGGUCACUUGUUGGAGCCCCACUCAGAGCUCAGCACACCACCCCACCAGCAGCCUCCUCCUCCCAGCUGAGGCUGCAUUUCAUCCCUUCCCCCAGCCUGCUUUCCCUGAGAUAGGGGAGUGUUUCCCAGGGCCCAUGUGACUUCCACUGGCAAGUGACGAUUACCAAUGGUUUACUAGUCAGUGAAACUACCAAAGGCUUUUGUGCUGUAGUAAUCCUUUUCCUGUUUAAAACUCUGGGGAUUUUCUAAUGUUGCCAAUAGUUUUUCAAGUCAGCAAUUACUGUGUGGAUUAUGUAAUGGCUCGGUAUUA
Molecule: long non-coding RNA, 2673 nt
Filed under: Homo sapiens (human)
Lineage: Eukaryota; Metazoa; Chordata; Mammalia; Primates; Hominidae
Description: PCBP1 antisense RNA 1
Source: RNAcentral